RNAcentral lists this ribosomal RNA (292 nucleotides) under uncultured Bacteroidota bacterium. Its description in RNAcentral is "uncultured Bacteroidetes bacterium partial 16S ribosomal RNA". The record is from RNAcentral. Lineage: Bacteria; Pseudomonadati; Bacteroidota.
GGACUACCAGGGUUUCUAAUCCUGUUUGAUCCCCACGCUUUCGUGCCUCAGCGUCAGUUACAAUUUAGUGAGCUGCCUUCGCAAUCGGUGUUCUAUGUCAUCUCUAAGAAUUUCACCUCUACAUGACAUAUUCCGCCCACUUCAAGUGUACUCAAGCUCAUCAGUAUCAAUGGCAAUUUCCAUGUUAAGCAUGGAGCUUUCACCACUGACUUAAUAAGCCGCCUACGCACCCUUUAAACCCAAUAAAUCCGGAUAACGCUUGGACCCUUCGUAUUACCGCGGCUGCUGGCAC